This 296-nucleotide ribosomal RNA is filed under the name uncultured Paenibacillus sp. Its description in RNAcentral is "partial 16S ribosomal RNA". It matches the Rfam family "Bacterial small subunit ribosomal RNA", at positions 1088 to 1382 of the family's 1533-position model. The record is from RNAcentral. Lineage: Bacteria; Bacillati; Bacillota; Bacilli; Caryophanales; Paenibacillaceae.
GCUAACGAGCGCUAACCCCUAUUGUUAGUUGCCAUCAUUCAGUUGGGCACUCUAAGGUGACUGACCGGCUAAAAGUCGGAGGAAGGUGGGGAUGACGUCAAAUCAUCAUGCCCCUUAUGACCUGGGCUACACACGUGCUACAAUGGGCGGUACAAAGGGUCGCGAACCCGCGAGGGGGAGCCAAUCCCAAAAAAGCCGCUCUCAGUUCGGAUUGCAGGCUGCAACUCGCCUGCAUGAAGCCGGAAUCGCUAGUAAUCGCGGAUCAGCAUGCCGCGGUGAAUACGUUCCCGGGCCUU